This is a long non-coding RNA of Chelonia mydas (Green sea turtle), 979 nucleotides long. RefSeq lists it as uncharacterized. NCBI's taxonomy places the organism in Eukaryota, Metazoa, Chordata, Testudines, Cheloniidae. The transcript is spliced from 4 exons. The record is from RefSeq and is a predicted model, not a curated record.
AGCUAGCAGUGCAGGUAGCUAGUAACAUCCAGUAAAGAGAAGCAAAAAAACAUGGCUUCCCUGCUGGGGAAGAAGCAUAGCUGUAGAGCAAUGCAUGUGGUUCUCACAGCAUCUGGACAAAGGGACCAUGAUGUUUGUAAAUAAGUGGGGGGAGGGGGUUAAGCUCCUUUUUCGCUUUUUCUGGAUUUUUUGAGGAUUUCCUGUUUGGGAUUCUAAGUUGUUAUACGACUGUCUACCGAGCAGGUGGUUUGGGCUUCGGCUUGGCUUUUAAAGUAGGUGCGCAUGCUCUUCUGCACUCCACAGCCUCCAACUCCAUGGAUUCAUAUGUUAAGUGUUGAGACUACUUGCACUGGCAGAAGCAUGUGGGUGCGUCUGCACUUCUGUUUACCACGUUAUCAGAGGAAGUAUCGGACUUGCUCGGAACAGGCUUGUUCAUGGGUUUGGAACCAUGAAGGAACCAGGCUGUCAGGUGGACCUUUUGGAGCUGGGGGCAAAGAACCCAUCCGUUGUCCUGGAAAAGGAGAUCUGGACUGUUGGGGAAAGCCCAUGGAUGAUGGGAGACAUGAGAAGUAGAGACCAGGGAAGAGAAGUAGCACUGCCCCGAGUCCCGUCUUCAGCCGGGAACGGUUGAGAAGGAACUGAGGGGGGUGCGGGACACAGGCGCUCAGGAAGAUUCCAACAAGAUGGGAGAUACCAACUGAGCGCCUGUGUCCCGACCAGGCACUGCUACCGAAAAUCUCCAAUCAAUGGUGCCGGGACGCACCAACACCUAUAGUGGAGCACCCACAGGGACAGCACUCGAAGAAGAAACUGCACUUGUCAGCCUGCUGAACUUGGUAUAAUUGAGUGGAAUGUUCUGGGGACGCCUAAGUCGUAAGGCUGAGAUCUCCAGUCCCACCUGGAUCACCCUGAAUAUGGACAUUGGACUAUAACCUAUGGACUAAUUCUGAAAGAACUCUUUGCAACUACAAAGUUCACC